UACGUAGGGGGCGAGCGUUGUCCGGAGUUACUGGGCGUAAAGCGCACGCAGGCGGUCUGCUAAGUUUGGAGUGACAGUUGGUGGCUUAACUGCCAAAGUGCUUCGAAAACUGACAGACUUGAGGGCUUCAGAGGGACACGGAAUUCCGGGUGGAGUGGUGAAAUGCGUAGAGAUCCGGAGGAACACCAAAGGCGAAGGCAGUGUCCUGGGGAGUACCCGACGCUCAGGUGCGAAAGCCAGGGGAGCGAACGGG
This 253-nucleotide ribosomal RNA is filed under the name uncultured bacterium. Its description in RNAcentral is "partial 16S ribosomal RNA". It matches the Rfam family "Bacterial small subunit ribosomal RNA", at positions 524 to 776 of the family's 1533-position model. The record is from RNAcentral.